RNAcentral lists this transfer RNA (77 nucleotides) under bacterium. RNAcentral describes it as "tRNA-Arg". It matches the Rfam family "tRNA". Rfam says of the family: Transfer RNA (tRNA) molecules are approximately 80 nucleotides in length. Their secondary structure includes four short double-helical elements and three loops (D, anti-codon, and T loops). The record is from RNAcentral. RNAcentral also lists the same sequence under 5 other names.
GGGGCUAUAGCUCAGCAGGAUAGAGCGACAGAUUCCUAAUCUGUAGGCCGAAGGUUCGAAUCCUUCUAGUCCCACCA